This 423-nucleotide ribosomal RNA is filed under the name uncultured bacterium. RNAcentral's name for it is "bacterial SSU rRNA". It matches the Rfam family "Bacterial small subunit ribosomal RNA", at positions 917 to 1341 of the family's 1533-position model. The record is from RNAcentral.
GGGCCCGCACAAGCGGUGGAGUAUGUGGUUUAAUUCGAUGCAACGCGAAGAACCUUACCAGGGUUUGACAUCCUGCGAAUCUCUUGGAAACGAGAGAGUGCCUUCGGGAGCGCAGUGACAGGUGGUGCAUGGCUGUCGUCAGCUCGUGUCGUGAGAUGUUGGGUUAAGUCCCGCAACGAGCGCAACCCACGUCUUUAGUUGCCAGCAUUGAGUUGGGCACUCUAGAGAGACCGCCGGUGAUAAACCGGAGGAAGGUGUGGAUGACGUCAAGUCAUCAUGCCCCUUACAUCCUGGGCUACACACGUACUACAAUGCUACGGACAAAGGGCAGCAAACUCGCGAGAGCUAGCAAAUCCCAUAAACCGUGGCUCAGUUCAGAUCGUAGGCUGCAACUCGCCUACGUGAAGGAGGAAUCGCUAGUAA